CCUACGGGAGGCAGCAGUGGGGAAUAUUGGACAAUGGGGGCAACCCUGAUCCAGCCAUGCCGCGUGUGUGAAGAAGGCCCUCGGGUUGUAAAGCACUUUCAGUGAGGAAGAACGCCUGGUGGUUAAUACCCAUCAGGAAAGACAUCACUCACAGAAGAAGCACCGGCUAACUCCGUGCCAGCAGCCGCGGUAAUACGGAGGGUGCGAGCGUUAAUCGGAAUUACUGGGCGUAAAGCGCGCGUAGGUGGCUUGAUAAGCCGGUUGUGAAAGCCCCGGGCUCAACCUGGGAACGGCAUCCGGAACUGUCAAGCUAGAGUGCAGGAGAGGAAGGUAGAAUUCCCGGUGUAGCGGUGAAAUGCGUAGAGAUCGGGAGGAAUACCAGUGGCGAAGGUGGCCUUCUGGACUGACACUGACACUGAGGUGCGAAAGCGUGGGUAGCAAACAGGAUUAGAUACCCGAGUAGUC
Molecule: ribosomal RNA, 465 nt
Filed under: Vreelandella stevensii
Lineage: Bacteria; Pseudomonadati; Pseudomonadota; Gammaproteobacteria; Oceanospirillales; Halomonadaceae
Description: partial 16S ribosomal RNA
Rfam family: Bacterial small subunit ribosomal RNA
Source: RNAcentral